AUGUUCUCUAUCUAGCCUAACACACCCCCCCCCCCCCCCCCAUCUUCGACCAAUAAAACAUUCACCAUACUUAGUCUAUGAGAUAAAAAAGUUCAACAGAGCUAUAAAUAUGUACCGUAAGGGAUAAAUGAAAUAAAGUGAAAUAUUUUAAAACACUAAAAAGCAGAGAUCUUAACUCGUACCUUUUGCAUCAUGGUCUAACAAGUCUAAUCAGGCGAGACGAAUUUUAGUCUGACCUCCCGAAACUAGGUGAGCUACUCCGGGGCUACCAAUGUAAACCCGUCUCUGUUGCAAAAGAGUGGGCGAACCCCUGAGUAGAGGCGAAAAACCUACCGAACCUAGUAAUAGCUGGUUGCUUAGGAAAAGGAUUUAAGUUCUUUCUUAAAAAUACUCAGGCACCCAAACAGGCAAACCCUAUUUUUAAGAACUAUUCAAUAAAGGUACAGCUUUAUUGAAGAAGGAGACAACCUAAACCUUAGGAUAAUGAUUAUAAUCUUUAAGGAAAUUUAGAUUAGUUGGCCUAAAAGCAGCCACCUCUAAUAGCGUCAAAGCUUCACCUCACCUCUUCCCUUAAUCCCACUACACCAUCAAAAUCCGUCAUCACUACUAAGCCAUUUUAUAUUUUUAUAAAAGAAUUAAUGUUAGGACUAGUAACAAAGAAAAACUUCUCUUUUAUAUAAGUUUAAAUCAGCUCGAAUACCUCCCUGAUAGUUAUCCAACCUUGAAUCUAUAGUAGUACCCCUUAAUUUUAAAAACCCUACUAAAAUAAUUGUUAAUCAGACAUAUGAAUAUAAAAGAAAGAUAUAAAAAUUAAGAAGGAACUCGGCAAACACAAAUCCCGCCUGUUUACCAAAAACAUCGCCUUUUGAAUUAUAUAAAAGGUAACGCCUGCCCAGUGACCCUGUGUUAAACGGCCGCGGUAUCCUGACCGCGCAAAGGUAGCGUAAUCAUUUGUCUUUUAAAUGAAGACUUGUAUGAAAGGCAUUACGAGGACUUAACUGUCUCCUUAAUUUAAUCAGUGAAACUGAUCUUCCCGUAAAAAAGCGGGAAUAAAACCAUUAGACGAGAAGACCCUAUGGAGCUUAAAACCUCAAACUACUUGUGUAACUUUCUCACAGAAUAUUAUUAAUAAACAAGCCUAGUCUAAGUUUUCUGUUGGGGUGACUGUGGAGAAAAACUAAUCCUCCAUGAAGAAUAGACUUAGAGCUACCGCUCUUAGUAUUAGUAAACCUAACUUUAAUUGACCCAAUCUUUGAUCAACGGACCAAGUUACCCUAGGGAUAACAGCGCCAUCCAUUUCAAGAGUCCAUAUCGACAAAUGGGUUUACGACCUCGAUGUUGGAUUAGGACACCCCAGUGGUGUAGCCGCUACUAAA
This 1376-nucleotide ribosomal RNA is filed under the name Leptobrachium nigrops (black-eyed litter frog). Its description in RNAcentral is "partial 16S rRNA". It matches the Rfam family "Bacterial large subunit ribosomal RNA", at positions 258 to 2569 of the family's 2925-position model. Lineage: Eukaryota; Metazoa; Chordata; Amphibia; Anura; Megophryidae. The record is from RNAcentral.